AACAAAAUAAGAGAUUUUUUUUUCGCCUUCCCCUGUCUUUUUCCUCUCCCUUUUACUCAAUACAAAAUACACCUUAGUUAAAGAUUAAUAAAUAUUAAUUUUUUAGAUAAUGUUUUUCUCAAUAUAAGCUCAAACAAUAAUGUCAAAUAAACUCCUAUAAUAAUCAUUAAGUGAAUAAAUUAAAUAUGAAAAAUAACAAAACAUAAAAAUUGUAUAAUAAAAACUUGAUGCACUGUAAAUAGUUCUUCAUAAUGAAUCAAUAUACUCAAUAAAGUUAAAAAAAAAAAAGUCUGAUGAUAGAAUAGGGGCUACCUUAAAUCACAGUUUGAAGUGUAAUUCCUAUCCUUAUAGUUACAAUAUUUUAUAAAAUUACAAUAAAAUAAAAUUAAGAAUUAAUUUGUGCGAAAAAGUGCAUAGAAGAAAAAUAGAAAAAAAAUUUAGUAUUACUUUUCAACCCAUUCCGUUCAAUUUUAAAAUGGAAUAAAAUGCUAUUUAAGUAUUUUCCACACAAAUCUUGGCAAGAUUUUCCUUUUUCCUUUCCCUUUUUACAAAAGCAAGAGAAUUGAAUUUUUAUUUUUUCUUUCUUUCAUUUUUCUUUUAACAAAGUAAAGAAAUUGACCUUUUUUUUCUUCUCCUAUCAUUUUUUUCUCUCUUUCUUUUCCUAACUGCAGAACAUUUUAAUUAUAA
RNAcentral lists this unclassified non-coding RNA (687 nucleotides) under Hevea brasiliensis (rubber tree). Lineage: Eukaryota; Viridiplantae; Streptophyta; Magnoliopsida; Malpighiales; Euphorbiaceae. The record is from RNAcentral.